RNAcentral lists this ribosomal RNA (127 nucleotides) under Octodon degus (degu). Lineage: Eukaryota; Metazoa; Chordata; Mammalia; Rodentia; Octodontidae. The record is from RNAcentral.
UAAGGCCUUACCACCCUGAACGCUCCGGAUCUCAUCUGAUCUCAGAAGCUAAGCAGGGUUGGGCCUGGUUAGUACUUGGAUGGGAGACAAAUGCGGUGGAGAAAUGGGUCUCAGGUUGCAAACUUAA